ACAUUUGUAGCAAAAUUUGGUUCCGCAACCGGUUGACACCAGUUUUGGAUAAUAGGGAAUCCGAUUAAAAUUCGGAGCUGUACCCGCAGCUGUAAGUUCGUUAAUUACUUUUUGAAAUACCCGUUGCCACUUUCAAUUAUUUACUUGAAGGGAAGGCCUCAAAAAGUCGGACAAGCCAGAAGACCUGCCAAAAUUUUUAAUUAUUG
RNAcentral lists this non-coding RNA (206 nucleotides) under Bacteroidota bacterium. Lineage: Bacteria; Pseudomonadati; Bacteroidota. The record is from RNAcentral.